Molecule: long non-coding RNA, 531 nt
Filed under: Coffea arabica (coffee)
Lineage: Eukaryota; Viridiplantae; Streptophyta; Magnoliopsida; Gentianales; Rubiaceae
Description: long non-coding RNA (CARA_LNC002134)
Source: RNAcentral
CAUCUUCAAAGCCUUCAAUUUCUUCUGCUUUCACUAUAUCAUCUCCAUAUACCACUUCAAGAUCACGCAAGUAUGGAAACUUCAUAUUCCAGAGCCCCUUUGCCUCUUUAUGCGCCUACAACAACGAGGCAUCAGAAACAAACAAAUAAAAAAAAGAAAGUUUAUAAUAUGGAAUAUCAAAUAAAAUAAAAAUAUGAAAAGCAAAAAACCUAUAAUUACCUUAACCCAAUUGUCAUACCACUGUCUCUCACAGCUGAUCAUCUUCUCAGCAGCAUUCCAUUUGCAACCACUUUGUCUUAACAUCUUACUAAUUGCAUAAAAUUUGCUCUUCAACCACUUCACUUUUGACUCAACAUGCGGAUCAACUUUCUUCGUGAAAUUUGGAAUCUUACUUGAAAUAAUAUUGUGCACCUCAAACAUAUAGUUUUGCUUAAAUCCACCAUCAUUUUUCCACAAAGGAUCAUAUGACAACUCUUUUAGUGCUUCAACUAACGCUUUUACCUCUUCAGGAGUCCAAAAGCAUUUAUUCUU